Helianthus annuus (common sunflower) is the source of this 367-nucleotide long non-coding RNA. RefSeq lists it as uncharacterized. The record is from RefSeq and is a predicted model, not a curated record. NCBI's taxonomy places the organism in Eukaryota, Viridiplantae, Streptophyta, Magnoliopsida, Asterales, Asteraceae. The transcript is spliced from 2 exons.
UCGAUCAAGAACAGAGAACAAGGGGGGAAAACCCUAGCUUUAAGAAUCAAGCGAUUGAACCUGAAAUCAAAGGAUAAUUCAAUGCAUGAACUCUAAUAUCACUCUACUGAACUCGAUUAUUGAAGUGGCGUGAAGGAAGAAGGUUCAGACACUAGGAAAUCGAAAGGCUCACAAGAUCGAGGUAUGUUAAUUUACACAUACAUUUCUAGCAUGUUGUAUUAUGAUCACUAAUUUUUAUUGUAACUUGUCGUUUAUGCCAAAAAUCAUAAUAAUGGUAGUCCAUGGAAGUUGAGUAGCAAUUAGUAUGAUCCGUUAUGAACGAAUUAUGUAAAAGGAAAAUUUAUGAAUAAGACUGCAUUAUAACCGA